UACGGGGGGGGCAAGCGUUGUUCGGAAUUACUGGGCGUAAAGGGCUCGUAGGCGGCCAACUAAGUCAGACGUGAAAUCCCUCGGCUUAACCGGGGAACUGCGUCUGAUACUGGAUGGCUUGAAUCCGGGAGAGGGAUGCGGAAUUCCAGGUGUAGCGGUGAAAUGCGUAGAUAUCGGGAGGAACACCAGUGGCGAAGGCGAUCUUCUGGACGGAUACUGACGUUGAGGCGCGAAAGCUAGGGGAGCAAACAGG
This 253-nucleotide ribosomal RNA is filed under the name uncultured bacterium. RNAcentral describes it as "partial 16S ribosomal RNA". It matches the Rfam family "Bacterial small subunit ribosomal RNA", at positions 524 to 776 of the family's 1533-position model. The record is from RNAcentral.